Molecule: non-coding RNA, 72 nt
Organism: Phrynosoma platyrhinos (Desert horned lizard)
Lineage: Eukaryota; Metazoa; Chordata; Lepidosauria; Squamata; Phrynosomatidae
Source: the annotation of a GenBank genome assembly
GCCAGUGUGGCGUAGUGGUUUGAGUGUUGGAUUACAAGUCUGUAGACCAAGGUUCAAGUCCCAUCUCUGGUC